This 253-nucleotide ribosomal RNA is filed under the name uncultured bacterium. Its description in RNAcentral is "partial 16S ribosomal RNA". It matches the Rfam family "Bacterial small subunit ribosomal RNA", at positions 524 to 776 of the family's 1533-position model. The record is from RNAcentral.
UACAGAGGUCUCAAGCGUUGUUCGGAUUCAUUGGGCGUAAAGGGUGCGUAGGCGGCGCGGUAAGUCGGGUGUGAAAUCUCGGAGCUUAACUCCGAAACUGCAUUCGAUACUGCCGUACUUGAGGACUGGAGAGGAGACUGGAAUUUACGGUGUAGCAGUGAAAUGCGUAGAUAUCGUGAGGAAGACCAGUGGCGAAGGCGGAUCUCUGGACAGCUCCUGACGCUGAGGCGCGAAGGCUAGGGGAGCAAACGGG